UACGUAGGGUCCGAGCGUUGUCCGGAAUUACUGGGCGUAAAGAGCUCGUAGGUGGUUUGUCGCGUUGUUCGUGAAAACUCACAGCUUAACUGUGGGCGUGCGGGCGAUACGGGCAGACUUGAGUACUGCAGGGGAGACUGGAAUUCCUGGUGUAGCGGUGAAAUGCGCAGAUAUCAGGAGGAACACCGGUGGCGAAGGCGGGUCUCUGGGCCGAUAUUGACGCUGAGGAGCGAAAGCGUGGGGAGCGAACAGG
Molecule: ribosomal RNA, 253 nt
Filed under: uncultured bacterium
Lineage: Bacteria
Description: partial 16S ribosomal RNA
Rfam family: Bacterial small subunit ribosomal RNA
Source: RNAcentral